CCCUUAGAUGUCCUGGGCCGCACGCGCGCUACACUGAACGGAUCAGCGCGUUUUCCCUUCCCGAGAGGGACGGGUAACCUGCUGAACCCCGUUCGUGGUAGGGAUCGGGGCUUGCAAUUAUUCCCCGUGAACCAGGAAUGCCCAGUAAGUGCAAGUCAUAAGCUUGCGUUGAUUACGUCCCUGCCCUUUGUACACACCGCCCGUCGCUACUACCGAUUGAACGUUUUAGUGAGGUACUCGGACUGAGCCUCAGAAGAUUCACGUCUUUUGUGCUGCUCGGGAAGAUUCCCAAACUUGAGCGUUUAGAGGAAGUAAAANUCGUANCA
Molecule: ribosomal RNA, 326 nt
Filed under: uncultured eukaryote
Lineage: Eukaryota
Description: partial 18S ribosomal RNA
Rfam family: Eukaryotic small subunit ribosomal RNA
Source: RNAcentral